GAUGAACGCUGGCGGCGUGCUUAACACAUGCAAGUCGAACGGAAAGGCCCAAGCUUGCUUGGGUACUCGAGUGGCGAACGGGUGAGUAACACGUGGGUGAUCUGCCCUGCACUUCGGGAUAAGCCUGGGAAACUGGGUCUAAUACCGGAUAGGACCACUUCUUGGAUGUUGUGGUGGAAAGUUUUUUCGGUGUGGGAUGAGCUCGCGGCCUAUCAGCUUGUUGGUGGGGUAAUGGCCUACCAAGGCGUCGACGGGUAGCCGGCCUGAGAGGGUGUACGGCCACAUUGGGACUGAGAUACGGCCCAGACUCCUACGGGAGGCAGCAGUGGGGAAUAUUGCACAAUGGGCGCAAGCCGGAUGCAGCGACGCCGCGUGGGGGAUGACGGCCUUAGGGUUGUAAACUCCUUUCGCUAGGGACGAAGCGUUUUGUGACGGUACCUGGAGAAGAAGCACCGGCUAACUACGUG
Molecule: ribosomal RNA, 467 nt
Filed under: uncultured bacterium
Lineage: Bacteria
Description: partial 16S ribosomal RNA
Rfam family: Bacterial small subunit ribosomal RNA
Source: RNAcentral